This is a small nucleolar RNA of Otolemur garnettii (small-eared galago), 95 nucleotides long. The record is from Ensembl. Lineage: Eukaryota; Metazoa; Chordata; Mammalia; Primates; Galagidae.
AGCCUUCUGUGGUUCAUAAGCCUGGUGAUCGGGUUUUCACCCUAUUGUGUGAGAGAUGCCUCCCUCAAACCUUGUUAGCUCAUCAGCGUCUGCGU